GACGAACGCUGGCGGCAUGCCUUACACAUGCAAGUCGAACGACAGCACGGGUGCUUGCACCUGGUGGCGAGUGGCGAACGGGUGAGUAAUAUAUCGGAACGUACCUUAUUGUGGGGGAUAACGCAGCGAAAGCUGUGCUAAUACCGCAUAAUCCCUAAGGGGGAAAGCGGGGGACCGUAAGGCCUCGCGCAAUUAGAGCGGCCGAUACCUGAUUAGCUAGUUGGUGAGGUAAAGGCUCACCAAGGCAACGAUCAGUAGCUGGUCUGAGAGGACGAUCAGCCACACUGGGACUGAGACACGGCCCAGACUCCUACGGGAGGCAGCAGUGGGGAAUUUUGGACAAUGGGGGCAACCCUGAUCCAGCAAUGCCGCGUGAGUGAAGAAGGCCUUCGGGUUGUAAAGCUCUUUUGUCAGGGAAGAAACAGCAGCUCUAACACAGUUUGCGAAUGACGGUACCUGAAGAAUAAGCACCGGCUAACUACGUGCCAGCCGCCGCAGUAA
Molecule: ribosomal RNA, 501 nt
Filed under: uncultured bacterium
Lineage: Bacteria
Description: partial 16S ribosomal RNA
Rfam family: Bacterial small subunit ribosomal RNA
Source: RNAcentral